GAUGAACGCUAGCGGCAGGCUUAAUACAUGCAAGUCGAGGGGCAGCAUGAGUGUAGCAAUACAUCUGAUGGCGACCGGCAAAACGGGUGCGGAACACGUACACAACCUUCCUAUAAGUGGGGAAUAGCCCAGAGAAAUUUGGAUUAAUACCCCGUAACAUAAUGAUGUGGCAUCACAUUAUUAUUAUAGCUACGGCGCUUAUUGAUGGGUGUGCGGCUGAUUAGAUAGUUGGCGGGGUAACGGCCCACCAAGUCUACGAUCAGUAGCUGAUGUGAGAGCAUGAUCAGCCACACGGGCACUGAGACACGGGCCCGACUCCUACGGGAGGCAGCAGUAAGGAAUAUUGGUCAAUGGACGCAAGUCUGAACCAGCCAUGCCGCGUGAAGGAUUAAGGUCCUCUGGAUUGUAAACUUCUUUAUCUGGGACGAAAAAAGGCGAUUCUUCGUCACUUGACGGUACCAGAUGAAUAAGCACCGGCUAACUCCGU
This 487-nucleotide ribosomal RNA is filed under the name uncultured bacterium. Its description in RNAcentral is "bacterial SSU rRNA". It matches the Rfam family "Bacterial small subunit ribosomal RNA", at positions 28 to 506 of the family's 1533-position model. The record is from RNAcentral.